CAGUAUCAUCAGUGCAAGAUAUUGGAACAUGACUUCUUAAGGGGUAGGACUUGGAAUGCAGCAGAGCAAAGAAACCAUCACGGACUGGUUGAAAAAGGAUAAAAGGAACCAAAGAGCCCUUCCCAAUGCAAGACAUGCAGUGUAAACCCUUCUUAAAUCAAAAGAGAAAAGCAAAGUGGAUAUGUAGUGGGUAAAGUGUGCUGCAUUCAAGUGUCAAGGAUAACAGGGAUUUAUAAACAGCAAGCAAGAUUGUAAUUAGAAAAAAAAGCCCUGGUGCUGUCACAUAUUAGAGAAUCCAGCAGUGCACGCAGAAGAGGACUCCCAGGAAAUAUAAACACAGAGGCAGAAUUGUUCUAACCGGAAAGCACAACAUUGGCAGUGGGGACAGAACAGUGAGCUGCAGGGAAGAGCCACGAGGGAGAAGGGGACGCCGGCAUUACUCCUAUCUCGGAUCCAACUGGGCAACCUGCAAAAAGGCUUACAUAUGAGUGCAUUUACAAAUGAAAAGUAAUGUGAGUGUAAUAUUUAAUAUUUUUAAAAAGUUUUAUCAAACAAAUUACACUAUAGAGGUCUUAUAUGUGGGAGCAUAUGGAGUGACGGAGGAGGAAGGAAGCUGAAACAAUAUUACGUGCAAAUUUAAAACUACUUUCUUGUAAGUAGGCAUUUUGGCUAACCCUGGCGGAAGUAUCUAAAGCAGGGGUCCCCAACC
Xenopus laevis (African clawed frog) is the source of this 709-nucleotide long non-coding RNA. RefSeq lists it as uncharacterized. The record is from RefSeq and is a predicted model, not a curated record. The transcript has 4 exons. Lineage: Eukaryota; Metazoa; Chordata; Amphibia; Anura; Pipidae.